This 485-nucleotide ribosomal RNA is filed under the name uncultured bacterium. RNAcentral's name for it is "partial 16S ribosomal RNA". It matches the Rfam family "Bacterial small subunit ribosomal RNA", at positions 28 to 523 of the family's 1533-position model. The record is from RNAcentral.
GACGAACGCUGGCGGCGUGCUUAACACAUGCAAGUCGAACGGUGAAAGCGGAGCUUGCUCCGCUGGAUCAGUGGCGAACGGGUGAGUAACACGUGGGCAACCUGCCCCUCACUUCGGGAUAACUCCGGGAAACCGGGGCUAAUACCGGAUAUGACCUCCUUGGGCAUCCUUGGAGGUGGAAAGUUUUUCGGUGAGGGAUGGGCCCGCGGCCUAUCAGCUUGUUGGUGAGGUAGUGGCUCACCAAGGCGACGACGGGUAGCCGGCCUGAGAGGGCGACCGGCAACACUGGGACUGGGACACGGCCCAGACUCCUACGGGAGGCAGCAGUGGGGAAUAUUGCGCAAUGGGCGAAAGCCUGACGCAGCAACGCCGCGUGCGGGAUGACGGCCUUCGGGUUGUAAACCGCUUUCAGCAGGGAAGAAGCCGCAAGGUGACGGUACCUGCAGAAGAAGCACCGGCUAACUACGUGCCAGCCGCCGCCGUAA